Molecule: non-coding RNA, 205 nt
Filed under: unclassified sequences
Description: raiA RNA
Rfam family: raiA RNA
Source: Rfam by way of RNAcentral
UAAAGUUAGGUCUGUGGAUGAAAGUCGAUGCCAGUCGCAGGCGAAACGAUCCACGUAAGUUAGGCAAAAGUUCUAAUGAGCAUGGUGCGGUGUAGAAGUAAGUCCUACCAAGUAAAUUGAGAGGGUUAGUAGUGAGGAGUUAAGUCUUAGUAGCAAAAGCUCCAGUAGGCGAGUGUGGGGUCAAAGUCCAGGUCAGAUAACUUUG